CAAUCCUCCCAGUGAUGAUGCUAUGGGAUUCUUAGGGCUCAGGAGAGGGCGGCAGCUUGUCAGUUAAAGAUAAGUGUUCAGAAUACAGUGGUUUGCUGUGUGUUAGAAUUUAUUCCAUUACUAAUUUAUAACUUCCCCGAAAACCCAGUAGGGACCUAAAUAUCAAAAGACUGAUAAGACUCCUUUACUCAUUUAAAAUAACAGACUCAAAGAAAUUCAAAGCCACAAACAGUCUUAAAGGUCAUCUAUGCCAUACAGGUCACUUCAGAAAUAAAGGCAACAGAGAUUUGAUAUGACUGGCACUUUAGAAGAAACCUUUUAUUCUCUUUGCAAAAGAUGCCAUCAGGGAGGAAGUGGUGUUCAGUUUUCCAUUACCUUCUUCAGACUAGAUGCUGUCAAAUCCGUUUUGUGAAACAGAGCUAUUCUGGAGAAAUAACCCUGUGUUAUUACACAUACAAACAUAACCUCUAUGAUACCAUUAGUUUGUUUUUUUUUUUUUCAAGAGAUUCUACAAGGUUAAAGGAGGUAUGAUUUUAAAUAAACAAGCAAACAAGCAACUGUUCUUUAAAAAAGCUAUGUGGAUUAAGAAAAUGAAAUAAAAGGCAUCCAGUUUGGAAAGGAAGAAGUAAAAUAAUGUCUCUCUGCAGAUGGCAUCAUCUUAUAUUAGAAAAUCUUAAGGAAUCCACCUAAAAGUGUUGAACAAGCAAGAUUGUGUUGAUAAAGCCUCAGGCAGUGCUUUGGUGAGAUUUAUAACUUACAUAUUGCAGUACCCAACAGUGAAAUAGAGACACUGUCAGAUCAACCAAAAUCUAAGAGAAUUCAUUGCUAGCAGAUCUGUACCAAAGAAAGGACAAAAGAAGUUCUUCCGACUGAUGAGAAAUGAUACUAGAAAAAAAUUUAGGUACUCAGGAAUAAAUGAAAAGCACUCAAAAUGGUAAAUACAAGCAAACGGCAAAUGUGGGUACGUAUAAAAGAUUUUUUCUCUUAAUUUUAAAAAAAGAUUUUAUCUAUUUAUGAGAGACACAGACUGAGAGGUAGAGACAUAGGCAGAGGG
This is a long non-coding RNA of Canis lupus familiaris (dog), 1054 nucleotides long. RefSeq lists it as uncharacterized. The record is from RefSeq and is a predicted model, not a curated record. Lineage: Eukaryota; Metazoa; Chordata; Mammalia; Carnivora; Canidae. The transcript is spliced from 3 exons.